This 1558-nucleotide long non-coding RNA is filed under the name Nicotiana tabacum (common tobacco). RNAcentral's name for it is "long non-coding RNA (NTAB_LNC016516)". The record is from RNAcentral. Lineage: Eukaryota; Viridiplantae; Streptophyta; Magnoliopsida; Solanales; Solanaceae.
AAUGAAAUUUUAAACUAAAGAAUUUGAUGCAAUUAAGUUGUUCGAUGAUAUGCCUACAACAACUAAACAAUUCAUUUGGUUAGUGAAACUGUAAAGCAAGUGAAGAAUAAACCCCUUCAAAAGGGUAUAGACUCUAAUAACAGACCCGAGAUAAACGAAGAAGUUCAUGAGAGUUUGUCACGACCCUAAAUCCACACACGGUCGUGAUGGCGCCUCUCAUGAAGACAAGGCCGGCCGACACUUUCCCAUUCCAGUUUUAAGCAAUUUAACAGUAAGUAUUAUGUCUUAAACUCGAUAAAAUUCCAAAUAAUAAGCAGUGAACAUUACAGUUUGCGGAAAUAAAACCCAACACAGCCUGAUACCAGCAGAUUAUAUAUAUUUUUAAAUACUCACUAAACAUUAUCGAAAUUAUUAGUUUUAACUAAUAAAUAUCCAGCCCCCUUGUGAUGAUGUUGGGAAGGUUGAUUAUGUUGCCGCUGUAAGGGAGAUUGUAGGUUGUGAGGAGAAAAAUGGAGAAGGCGAGAUAUUAGGAGUCAAUGUGUGAGUGAAAUAUCAACAGACCACUAACUCAUUAAGCCAACCUGCAAAUCAGGAGAUACAAUUUAUAAUCCAAGCUAGACAGGGUACUAUAUCAGAUUAGAAGAUAUGAUAAGGACGAGAAUACUGAUAUGCAGAGUGAGUUUUACCCACAGACUAAGAACAGAUUAAUAAUAACCCGAGAAGACAAAAUUGAGAAUGUAUCUUAAGCAACACUUCUCAAGUAAUGAGUAAUCUGAAUCAUAGUGAAAUUAAUAGAGUAGCAAAUUGUGUGAAUCCAUACCUUUUGACUCUUUUUCAAGUUUUAUUUUAAAACAAUAAUAAAGAUGAUCAAGAAGAAUGUUUUGUCAACCUAUUUGUACUGUUUAAUAAGGCACAUGGUAUUUAAGAUAUUAUAUUUGUACAAAUAAUAUGUUGGCGCUAUAUGUUUCAUGUUACUAACUAUAGAGGUGAAUGAAAGUCUUAAACUGAUCUUGCAUCAUCAAGUUCCUUGUUAGUCUUUUCAAUACAGUUUCAAUUAUAGGAUCCUCUAUUUCUAUUUUUGGUUAGAGGAAUAAUGUUUGGCAUGAUAUUUUCUUGUAUAAAGAACUUCGCUUUUGGUUGGAAAAAAGUGGAUCCAUUAAUGGAUUAUCACAAUUUUAUCUGCAAUCAGGGUACUACUCUCUAUUAUAUAUUUGACUUUUCAUCUAUGUUUUUCCAUCAACUCAAAGUUGGUUGUGAUUUACAUACUUUUUGAUCAACCCAAAAUUGAUUGUGAUUUACAUGAUUUUUGAAGGUAAUAUAAAACUUCUCUGCUUUUCAGGAAUAUUGAAUGUUAGAGGAUGACAACUAAAUUGGGGACUAUUGCUUGUACACACGAGGAGUGACGGAUUAAGUGUGUGUUUGUUAUCUAGAAGAAAUUAAGUAUAGCUUUUGGAUGUUAUAUCUGUGAUAGUUGGAUGCAUCUUUUCCACAUAUUAUAUAAAUAAGUGUUGUUGGUCAUUAGGUUAUCAAAAUCUUAUAUUAUAUGUUAUGCUGCCCA